UUUAUGUUGAAACCCUAACCCCCAAUAGCUCAGAAUGUGACUCUAUUUGAAGAUGGUGUCUUUAAAGAUGUAAUAAAGGCAAAAUGAAGUCACAAUGUGGGUUCUAAUCCUCUUUGACAAGUGUCCUUAUAAGAGGAGGUGAACAGGACACUGACACAUCCAGAGGGAAGACCAGGUGUGGACACGGGAAGACAGCUAUGGGCAAAGCAAGGAGAGAGGCUUCCAGAGAAACCAGCCCAGCCCACUACUUUCAUCUCACACUCUGACCUCCAGAACUGUGAGAAAAUAAACAUCCACUCUGAAUGCCCACUUCCUCCUCGUACCCCUGGAAAACUCUUACUUACCCUUCAAGUCCAGGGGUGAGCUCCCAGAUGGGGCUAUCUCUCCACCUUUGGAUCAGGACUACACCAGCCUGUGUGGAGUGAGUGAAGGACAAUUGGUGUAGGGACCAGUUCCAAAGCCACUCAGGCCCUGCCUUGGAGGGAGCCCGGACCAAGAAUUUGACCCUGUGAAGAGCAGGGCCUCCGAGGGGAGGGGAUGGCCUAAGCACUGACCACACUGCGGACAACGCCUUCUGCACUGAGCACUGGUACAGCCUGUGUCUUGAGGUUCCCCUGAAGCCUCGCGCGGUCUUAGUUUUAGGACCACGGUUGACUGCAGGCAACUGAAACCUCAGAAAGUGAAAUCUCAGAGAAGGGAAAUGGAGGAAUUGCAGUUUCAAAUGAAGUUAAAUUUUGAUCACCUGUAUUUCACUUGAAAGACAACUUCCAUCGGGAAUUGCUGUGGUUGGUGCAGUAACAGCAGCAGACUGGGUCUAAGUCACUGUUGGAAAAGAGUCAUCCUGGAACCCACUGGACUAUGAUGUAACCGCAGGAUAAACUGUUGUGAGGUUCAGCCUUAAUAGCAGCCAUUGUCCAUUUACUUAACUUCCCAGGUUAAAAGAAUCUCCCUUUGGAACUGCCUUUGAAAUAUGUUUGGGAUCUGUUCAGUGCUCCCCAACCAUGUCCUUUGAAUACCGAUGAAUUGAUUCAAGUUGCUUAAACAGACAGACCCAAAGAGGAGCCAGGACAGCAUUAUACUACAGCCUGCAGUUGUGCGGGAUAACAUGGCGUACCUGGCAGAGAGCUUGGGACUCAGAACUUUGCUGGCAGUGAAUAAAUCAAGAAUGGCUCCAUGAUGCUUUUAUCGCCCUGUCACUCCAAGCCCGGACACCAGUGCCCCUUCCUUGGAGCUCCAGUUAAAAGUCACCUCCUCACCCCUACUGUUCAGCUGGUGGGGCCCAUCCUUCCCAGCACUUCCUUUGACUUUCUUCCUUUGUCUUCCUUUGUCUGCCUUCUCUCAUAUCUGCUAGGACACAAUGGCUGAGCCCCUGUCUCGUAAGAAGAUUGUCAGAGGUCGGAGCAGGCUUGGUUCCUUUCAUUCACAGCCCCAGACAUGGUCAGAGCCUUUCAAAUCAUAU
This is a long non-coding RNA of Fukomys damarensis (Damara mole-rat), 1459 nucleotides long. RefSeq lists it as uncharacterized. The record is from RefSeq and is a predicted model, not a curated record. Lineage: Eukaryota; Metazoa; Chordata; Mammalia; Rodentia; Bathyergidae. The transcript is spliced from 7 exons.